AUGGCCUGGCCAGAGCCGGGAAGAGGCAAGCAAAACCCCCCCUUUCGGAGACGUGGACACCGACACUGCGGCGCACAGACGCCCAACGUCAGGACAGAGGUGGGAAGGGGAGCUGGGGGUCAGGGCCCACGACAGGAAGUGGAUCAGGGGUCAGGGCCCACGACAGAAGUGGAUCAGGGGUCAGGGCCCACGACAGGAAGUGGAUCAGGGGUCAGGGCCCACGACAGAAGUGGAUCAGGGGUCAGGGCCCACGACAGGAAGUGGAUCAGGGGUCAGGGCCCACGACAGAAGUGGAUCAGGGGUCAGGGCCCACGGACACGAAGCCCACGGACACGAAGCGGAUCAGGGGUCAGGACUCACAGACAGGAAGUGGAUCGGGGUCAGGGCCCAUGGACACAAAGCGGAUCAGGGGUCAGGACCCACAGACAGGAAGUGGAUCAGGGGUCAGGGCCCAUGGACAGGAAGUGGAUCAGGGGUCAGGGCCCACGACAGGAAGUGGAUCAGGGGUCAGGGCCCACGACAGGAAGUGGAUCAGGGGUCAGGGCCCACGACACGAAGCGGAUCAGGGGUCAGGGCCCACGGACACUAAGCGGAUCGGAGGUCAAGGCCCACGGACACGAAGCGGAUCAGGGGUCAGGGCCCACGGACACUAAGCGGAUCGGGGGUCAAGGCCCACGGACACGAAGCGGAUCGGGGGUCAGGGCCCAUGGACACGAAGCGGAUCGGGGGUCAGGGCCCACGGACACGAAGCGGAUCAGGGGUCAGGGCCCAUGGACACGACGCGGAUCAGGGGUCAGGGCCCACGGACACGAAGCGGAUCAGGGGUCAGGGCCCAUGGACACUAAGCGGAUCGGGGGUCAGGGCCCAUGGACACGAAGCGGAGCAGGAGUUGGGCCAGGGGCUUCCAACGGGCUCUCCUGGAGUGGUCUCCCCUCGCCUCGCGCCCUCAGCACCCAACUUCUCACUGGGUGGGCCUUUCCCCCACUCGGGGCUCAGCUGGGUCUGUGGCCUGAUUGA
This 1017-nucleotide long non-coding RNA is filed under the name Oryctolagus cuniculus (rabbit). RNAcentral describes it as "lncRNA (ENSOCUG00000037511.1)". The record is from RNAcentral. Lineage: Eukaryota; Metazoa; Chordata; Mammalia; Lagomorpha; Leporidae.